CAACUUUCAGCAACGGAUCUCUAGGNCCUCGCAUCGAUGAAGAACGUAGCAAAGUGCGAAAAGUAAUGUGCAUUGCAACCGUGAAUCAUUGAAUCUUUGAACGCAUCUU
This 109-nucleotide ribosomal RNA is filed under the name Siepmannia lariceti. Its description in RNAcentral is "5.8S ribosomal RNA". It matches the Rfam family "5.8S ribosomal RNA", at positions 1 to 112 of the family's 154-position model. Rfam says of the family: 5.8S ribosomal RNA (5.8S rRNA) is a component of the large subunit of the eukaryotic ribosome. The record is from RNAcentral. Lineage: Eukaryota; Fungi; Mucoromycota; Mucoromycetes; Mucorales; Lentamycetaceae.